RNAcentral lists this transfer RNA (73 nucleotides) under Felis catus (domestic cat). It matches the Rfam family "tRNA". Rfam says of the family: Transfer RNA (tRNA) molecules are approximately 80 nucleotides in length. Their secondary structure includes four short double-helical elements and three loops (D, anti-codon, and T loops). The record is from Rfam by way of RNAcentral. Lineage: Eukaryota; Metazoa; Chordata; Mammalia; Carnivora; Felidae.
GCCUGGCUGGCUCAGUCGGUGGAGCGUGUGACUCUCGAUCUCGGGGUCAGAGGUUCGAGCCCCAUGUCGGGCG